RNAcentral lists this ribosomal RNA (513 nucleotides) under uncultured bacterium. RNAcentral describes it as "bacterial SSU rRNA". It matches the Rfam family "Bacterial small subunit ribosomal RNA", at positions 28 to 534 of the family's 1533-position model. The record is from RNAcentral.
GAUGAACGCUAGCGGGAGGCUUAACACAUGCAAGUCGAGGGGCAGCAUAGGGUAGCAAUACUCUGAUGGCGACCGGCAAACGGGUGAGUAACGCGUAUGCAACCUACCCUGUACAGGGGGAUAACCCGGAGAAAUUCGGACUAAUAUCCCGUAAUAAUAUCCGGAGGCAUCUUUGGAUAUUUAAAGUUCCGACGGUACGGGAUGGGCAUGCGUAACAUUAGCUGGUUGGUAAGGUAACGGCUUACCAAGGCUAUGAUGUUUAGGGGUCCUGAGAGGGUGGUCCCCCACACUGGUACUGAGACACGGACCAGACUCCUACGGGAGGCAGCAGUGAGGAAUAUUGGUCAAUGGGCGCAAGCCUGAACCAGCCAUCCCGCGUGCAGGAAGACGGCCCUAUGGGUUGUAAACUGCUUUUCCAGGGAGAGAAACUUACGCACGUGUUGCGUGACUGACGGUACCCUGGGAAUAAGCAUCGGCUAACUCCGUGCCAGCAGCCGCGGUAAAACGUGCGUG